RNAcentral lists this small RNA (131 nucleotides) under Salmonella enterica. RNAcentral's name for it is "RtT sRNA". It matches the Rfam family "RtT RNA". From Rfam's summary of the family: This family represents a bacterial cis-regulatory element known as RtT RNA. The exact function of RtT is unknown although it is thought that it may be involved in changing the cellular response in relation to amino acid starvation. Lineage: Bacteria; Pseudomonadati; Pseudomonadota; Gammaproteobacteria; Enterobacterales; Enterobacteriaceae. The record is from RNAcentral. RNAcentral also lists the same sequence under 2 other names.
AUAUUUCUCCGUACGGGAAGGAUGAGAAGCUUCGACUAAGGUUCGAUUCGAGCGCAGCGAGAAAGCGUUGCCGCAGGCAACGACCCGAAGGGUGAAGCGCGCAGCGCUGAGUAAUCCUUCCCCCACCACCA